RNAcentral lists this ribosomal RNA (495 nucleotides) under uncultured bacterium. RNAcentral describes it as "partial 16S ribosomal RNA". It matches the Rfam family "Bacterial small subunit ribosomal RNA", at positions 28 to 507 of the family's 1533-position model. The record is from RNAcentral.
GACGAACGCUGGCGGCGUGCCUAAUACAUGCAAGUAGAACGCUGAAGGAGGAGCUUGCUCUUCUGGAUGAGUUGCGAACGGGUGAGUAACGCGUAGGUAACCUGCCUGGUAGCGGGGGAUAACUAUUGGAAACGAUAGCUAAUACCGCAUAACAGUAGAUGUUGCAUGACAUUUACUUAAAAGGUGCAAUUGCAUCACUACCAGAUGGACCUGCGUUGUAUUAGCUAGUUGGUGGGGUAACGGCUCACCAAGGCGACGAUACAUAGCCGACCUCGGAGGGUGAUCGGCCACACUGGGACUGAGACACGGCCCAGGCGCCUACGGGAGGCAGCAGUAGGGAAUCUUCGGCAAUGGACGGAAGGCUGACCGAGCAACGCCGCGGGAGUGAAGAAGGUUUUCGGAUCGUAAAGCUCUGUUGUAAGAGAAGAACGAGUGUGAGAGUGGAAAGUUCACACUGUGACGGUAUCUUACCAGAAAGGGACGGCUAACUACGUG